This 484-nucleotide ribosomal RNA is filed under the name uncultured bacterium. RNAcentral's name for it is "partial 16S ribosomal RNA". It matches the Rfam family "Bacterial small subunit ribosomal RNA", at positions 30 to 507 of the family's 1533-position model. The record is from RNAcentral.
AUUGAACGCUGGCGGCAGGCCUAACACAUGCAAGUCGAGCGGAUGAAGGGAGCUUGCUCCUGGAUUCAGCGGCGGACGGGUGAGUAAUGCCUAGGAAUCUGCCUGGUGGUGGGGGAUAACGUCCGGAAACGGGCGCUAAUACCGCAUACGCCCUGAGGGAGAAAGUGGGGGAUCUUCGGACCUCACGCUAUCAGAUGAGCCUAGGUCGGAUUAGCUAGUUGGUGGGGUAAAGGCCUACCAAGGCGACGAUCCGUAACUGGUCUGAGAGGAUGAUCAGUCACACUGGAACUGAGACACGGUCCAGACUCCUACGGGAGGCAGCAGUGGGGAAUAUUGGACAACGGGCGAAAGCCCGAUCCAGCCAUGCCGCGUGUGUGAAGAAGGUCUUCGGAUUGUAAAGCACUUUAAGUUGGGAGGAAGGGCAGUAAGUUAAUACCUUGCUGUUUUGACGUUACCAACAGAAUAAGCACCGGCUAACUUCGUG